GUGCUAGAUCCUCAGCAUGGCCCCAAAGGGUCGCCUCCUAACAGUUCCUGAAAAUGUUGGCUUCUGUCCUCUCCCACCUGGGCCUGGGACACCCCUGAUCUGCCGGGCAGGGAGAAUCCCAUAACCUUGGGGCAGAGGGAUCAAGGGACGGUGUCAGGGGUGGUGUACAUGAGGCCAAGAGCCAUGCUGGCAUCCAGUAGCAGUGGA
This 207-nucleotide long non-coding RNA is filed under the name Pan troglodytes (chimpanzee). RNAcentral describes it as "long non-coding RNA NONPTRT007092". The record is from RNAcentral. Lineage: Eukaryota; Metazoa; Chordata; Mammalia; Primates; Hominidae.